GACCAGAUCAAGCGCGAGAAGGGCGUUUGGUGAAUGCCUUGGCAGUAAGAGGCGAUGAAGGACGUGAUACUCUGCGAUAAGUCAUGGGGAGCCGAGAAUAGGCUUUGAUCCAUGAAUUUCCGAAUGGGGGAACCCACCUGACAGUUCGAUAUUGUUACCACGGUAGCCAAUAUCUUGCUGAACCAGGUACUUAAAACCUGAAUACAUAGGGUUUUAAGAGCAAACCCGGGGAACUGAAACAUCUAAGUACCCGGAGGAAAGGACAUCAAUUGAUACUCCCUUAGUAGCGGCGAGCGAACGGGGACCAGCCGAGCCAGAGAAGUGACUGGAAUGCGUUGGGAAGCGCAGCCAUAGCGGGUGAUAGCCCCGUACAGGAAGCUUUGAUGGACGUAUUAAGUAGGGCGGAACACGUGAAAUUCUGUCUGAAGAUCGGAGGACCACCUUCGAAGGCUAAGUACUCCUUACUGACCGAUAGUGAACCAGUACCGUGAGGGAAAGGUGAAAAGCACCC
Molecule: ribosomal RNA, 511 nt
Filed under: Alteromonas sp.
Lineage: Bacteria; Pseudomonadati; Pseudomonadota; Gammaproteobacteria; Alteromonadales; Alteromonadaceae
Description: partial 23S ribosomal RNA
Rfam family: Bacterial large subunit ribosomal RNA
Source: RNAcentral